CACGUAGGGGGCAAGCGUUGUCCGGAUUUAUUGGGCGUAAAGAGCUCGUAGGUGGCUCGGUAAGUCGGGUGUGAAAUUUCGAGGCUCAACCUCGAAACGCCACCUGAUACUGCUGUGGCUUGAGUCCGGUAGGGGAGCGUGGAAUUCCUGGUGUAGCGGUGAAAUGCGCAGAUAUCAGGAGGAACACCAGCGGCGAAGGCGGCGCUCUGGGCCGGUACUGACACUGAGGAGCGAAAGCGUGGGGAUCAAACAGG
RNAcentral lists this ribosomal RNA (254 nucleotides) under uncultured bacterium. RNAcentral's name for it is "partial 16S ribosomal RNA". It matches the Rfam family "Bacterial small subunit ribosomal RNA", at positions 524 to 776 of the family's 1533-position model. The record is from RNAcentral.